UCUGGGUGUAGCUGAAGGGAUUUACUGAAGAAAGAAGACUCACCCUUGUCCGGCUUGUCACUUGGAUGGUAUAAAAGGGAAACAAAGAAGAAGGUUCCACCUCUGUUUCUUCGGAGGAGCUCCAAUCUCCACCUUCACCUUGGAUAUCAUCUCGUGGCUUCCAGUCAGACUGUUCAGCCUCCAGCACAGAUCCUUCAGCCUUCCAGCACUGGCCAUUUGUCCUCCUGCUACAGAAUCACAUGGGACACUACAGUGAGCUGUUGGCCAUUGACUUGAUCCUUCAGAUUUCUAACUUGCAGACAGACCUUUUGUUCCACACUGACUCCAUGGGCAGCUAUUAUGUGAUCCCAGCAGAUGACCAAGUACCACAUCCACCAGUCUUCUUGAUGACAUUCUUCAGGAGCUCAUCACUACUGCUAAAACUUAUCAGAGCCUUGUAUAAUUUCUGUCACAUUGUUUCAUCACUCCCUUCCCUGCAGCCUCUCUCUUCAAGGCCUCUUCUCCCUAAAACAGAUCCUACCUUAGAGUCUGUCUUUUCCCAAAAUAGAGAGAGUACAAAAAUA
Cavia porcellus (domestic guinea pig) is the source of this 563-nucleotide long non-coding RNA. RefSeq lists it as uncharacterized. Lineage: Eukaryota; Metazoa; Chordata; Mammalia; Rodentia; Caviidae. The record is from RefSeq and is a predicted model, not a curated record. The transcript has 2 exons.